AUUGAACGCUGGCGGCAGGCUUAACACAUGCAAGUCGAGCGGGGGAAGGUAGCUUGCUACCGGACCUAGCGGCGGACGGGUGAGUAAUGCUUAGGAAUCUGCCUAUUAGUGGGGGACAACAUCUCGAAAGGGAUGCUAAUACCGCAUACGUCCUACGGGAGAAAGCAGGGGAUCUUCGGACCUUGCGCUAAUAGAUGAGCCUAAGUCGGAUUAGCUAGUUGGUGGGGUAAAGGCCUACCAAGGCGACGAUCUGUAGCGGGUCUGAGAGGAUGAUCCGCCACACUGGGACUGAGACACGGCCCAGACUGCUACGGGAGGCAGCAGUGGGGAAUAGUGGACAAGGGGGGGAACCCUGAUCCAGACAUGCCGCGUGUGUGAAGAAGGCCGUAGGGUUGUAAAGCACGUUAAGCGAGGAGGAGGCUACUUUAGUUAAUACCGAGAGAUAGUGGACGUUACUCGCAGAAUAAGCACCGGCUAACUCUGUG
Molecule: ribosomal RNA, 485 nt
Filed under: uncultured bacterium
Lineage: Bacteria
Description: partial 16S ribosomal RNA
Rfam family: Bacterial small subunit ribosomal RNA
Source: RNAcentral